AGCAGCCGCGGUAAUUCCAGCUCCAAUAGCGUAUAUUAAAGUUGUUGCAGUUAAAAAGCUCGUAGUUGAAUUUCGGGGUCAGUAGGUUGGUCGUGCCACUGGUAUGUACUGGCCUUACUGAUUCCUCCUUCCUGAUGAACCGUAAUGCCAUUAAUUUGGUGUUGCGGGGAAUCUGGACUGUUACUUUGAAAAAAUUAGAGUGUUUAAAGCAGGCUAACGCUUGAAUACAUUAGCAUGGAAUAAUGGAAUAGGACGUUCGAUCCUAUUUUGUUGGUUUCUAGGAUUGACGUAAUGAUUAAUAGGGAUAGUUGGGGGCAUUAGUAUUCAAUUGUCAGAGGUGAAAUUCUUGGAUUUAUUGAAGACUAACUACUGCGAAAGCAUUUGCCAAGGAUGUUUUCAUUAAUCAAGAACGAAAGUUAGGGGAUCGAAGACGAUCAGAUACCGUCGUAGUCUUAACCAUAAACUAUGCCGACUAGGGAUCGGAUGAUGUUAAUUUUUUAAUGACUCAUUCGGCGCCUUACG
Molecule: ribosomal RNA, 522 nt
Filed under: uncultured Glomus
Lineage: Eukaryota; Fungi; Glomeromycota; Glomeromycetes; Glomerales; Glomeraceae
Description: SSU rRNA
Rfam family: Eukaryotic small subunit ribosomal RNA
Source: RNAcentral